Molecule: transfer RNA, 72 nt
Filed under: Candidatus Parcubacteria bacterium
Lineage: Bacteria; Candidatus Parcubacteria
Also listed under: 1 other name
Description: tRNA-Gly
Rfam family: tRNA
About the family: Transfer RNA (tRNA) molecules are approximately 80 nucleotides in length. Their secondary structure includes four short double-helical elements and three loops (D, anti-codon, and T loops).
Source: RNAcentral
GCGAGAGUGGUUCAGUGGCAGAACAUCUCCUUGCCAAGGAGAAGAUCGCGGGUUCGAUUCCCGUCUCUCGCU